Molecule: ribosomal RNA, 477 nt
Filed under: Candidatus Scalindua brodae
Lineage: Bacteria; Pseudomonadati; Planctomycetota; Candidatus Brocadiia; Candidatus Brocadiales; Candidatus Scalinduaceae
Description: bacterial SSU rRNA
Rfam family: Bacterial small subunit ribosomal RNA
Source: RNAcentral
UUCGCAAUGCCCGAAAGGGUGACGAAGCGACGCCGCGUGGGUGAGGAAGGCCUUCGCGUUGUAAAGCCCUGUCAGGAGUUAAGAAAUGUAAGUGCGCUAAUAUCGCAUUUAUUUGACGAAGGCUCCAAAGGAAGUCACGGCUAACUCUGUGCCAGCAGCCGCGGUAAUGCAGAGGUGGCAAGCGUUGUUCGGAAUUAUUGGGCGUAAAGAGCACGUAGGUGGGUUCGUAAGUCAGAUGUGAAAGCCUUCUGUUCAACGGAAGAAUUGCAUCUGAAACUGCGAGUCUUGAGUGUAGGAGGGGAGAAUGGAACUUCUGGUGGAGCGGUGAAAUGCGUAGAUAUCAGAAGGAACGCCGGCGGCGAAAGCGAUUCUCUGGCCUAUUACUGACACUCAGUGUGCGAAAGCUAGGGGAGCAAACGGGAUUAGAUACCCCGGUAGUCCUAGCCGUAAACGAUGGGCACUAAGUAGAGGGGUUUU